GGAAUAUUGGUCAAUGGGCGAGAGCCUGAACCAGCCAAGUAGCGUGCAGGAUGACGGCCCUAUGGGUUGUAAACUGCUUUUAUGCGGGGAUAAAGUUCAGCACGUGUGCUGCUUUGUAGGUACCGCAUGAAUAAGGACCGGCUAAUUCCGUGCCAGCAGCCGCGGUAAUACGGAAGGUCCGGGCGUUAUCCGGAUUUAUUGGGUUUAAAGGGAGCGCAGGCGGGUGCUUAAGCGUGCUGUGAAAUGUACCGGCUCAACCGGUGACGUGCAGCGCGAACUGGGUGCCUUGAGUGAGUGCGAGGUAUGCGGAAUUCGUGAUGUAGCGGUGAAAUGCUUAGAUAUCACGAAGAACCCCGAUUGCGCAGGCAGCCUUCCAGUCAGUUACUGACGCUAAAGCUCGAAGGUGCGGGUAUCGAACA
This 419-nucleotide ribosomal RNA is filed under the name uncultured Prevotella sp. RNAcentral's name for it is "bacterial SSU rRNA". It matches the Rfam family "Bacterial small subunit ribosomal RNA", at positions 358 to 774 of the family's 1533-position model. Lineage: Bacteria; Pseudomonadati; Bacteroidota; Bacteroidia; Bacteroidales; Prevotellaceae. The record is from RNAcentral.